UCUGAGUCUCCCUCUCUCUCUACCCCUCCCCCACUCGCACUCUGUCUCUCACUUUCAAAAAUAAAUAAACAUUAAAAAAUUUUUAAAAAUAAACAAAAUAACUCACUUUUAACUUGAUUUCACUUCAUUACCCAAUUUUUAUGAGAACGCGGAGUUUGGUAGGAAUUGUCACUAGAUUCGUUUUCUUAACAUUGUACAAAAGCUACAUCAGAAGGAGGUAGUCAUGGAAUUUCAUCUUGGAAAACCCAUUUGAAGGCAUUCUGUUCACACACAAAGUUCAUAGACUGAAUUAGGCCAACGGGAACUGGCCAACCCCAGGGCGUGCGGGAGAACAGUGUCGCCGACUCUCUGAGGUGUCGCCAGGACAGAGGUUCUGACGGUUUUACACCUGAGCCCACAGGUGGAGGCAGGUGAUGGAGGGCGUCCUUGCCCGGAGAAAGGGGGCCCCAUGAUGCUUCUGAGGACACCUGGCUGGGAGAAAGGGCCAGGGCGGAGGCGGAGGUGGGGUCCGGAAGCAUUUUAUAGUUUGUGAAGCUUCUCCAUCUGAUAGCCAGUCAUUUGCAAAAUCUGGGAUUGGACCUGGAGACCCAUCAGCCUGGAAGAAGGGCUUCGAGCGGGGAAUGGACGACUCAGCGUUUGGAAGGAUGUCUUUUCCAGGUACCUAGUAGCUCCCUGGUGUUGACCUUAUUAGGUUAAGCUGUGUAAAAUUACCAGCACGCAGCUGGUUUUGAUCUGUGAGAAGGGCAACUUCAUACGGUCCAGCCAAAUAUGUGUUUCAAAGGAAGGAUUGAACACACAUGCCAACCCUACCUCCCGCCCCCUUCCUCCCUGCCUUCUUCCUGUCUUCUUUCUGACAACAGUUUGGUUAGUGCUGACUUUGUUUCAGGCCCUAAUUCAAAAUGACCUGUCAACUUGUUUCUUCCCUGUGUUCCCAGCCCAGCAUCAUUUUGGCUGCUGUUAGUAGCUUCACGGGGACUUCUGAGCACCUGGGGCCGCUGACCCAGGGUGUCUGGGGUCCGGGUUUGUUGGGACACUCCCUGGGUGAGUGACUGACUGCUCUGCCACUGGGCCCUGGGUGUGGCCCUCGGGCCAGGAGAACCUCUCCUGCUCGCUGGGAGCCUGUUGGCGUCACAUGCACACUUCACCUGAGGGUUUCAACAGAGGAUUAAUUGAUGGAGCUUAGGCAUAGGAUAGGAGGACCAAGGUCCCAGAGGAACAAGAAUUGAACGGAAGUAAAGCAAGCAACACUAGAGAGAAGUAAUGAGUUUGAGUAGGAACCAAGGUGGCUGUGCAACUGUGAGGUUGACGGGAGAAAAUCGAGGCCACAGAGGGAAGGUGGCCCUCACAGGCUUCCCAAGGAAGAUGGGGACAGGCAGGGCAGGGUGGUGGGAUGGCAGCGUGCCCUGGCAUGGGCGGACGUGAGGGUGGGCCCUCCACAGGGCGUGUGCCCGGGAGUCAGGGCAGGGAGCCCGGUGCCCAUGGACCUAGGUGCACAGCAUGCGGGACCCUUCUGUCCAGAUCAGCAUCAGUGCAGGCUAUGGGGUUCUGCAGGAAGACAUUGCAUUCCACUGUUGGCACUGACAUUGACAUCGUCACAGGAGGAAACAGCUCUUCUGUUCACUUUCUGGUCGGGUGUGGUGGGUGGAGUCCAUGCUGACCCACGUGGAAUCCGGGAGCCUGCCGGCUUCGUGGCUCUGGCACGUCCGCCGCUGACACCCUUGAUCUCAACACGCGGCUCUCUACCUGUAGACGUUAAGGGCCGUUGUCACCUGUCAUUUGAAUAGCAGUGGCACCUGCUUACAGACAGAAGCUCCGAGUUGAAUCGUGGGUAUGAGGAUUACAGUGACGCGGCUGGAUGAGGAGGGGAGGAUGCAAAUUGUCUUUUCCUUCUGCAGCACAAGAUUCCGCCAAGACAGUCUCCACGUUUAAGCCUCGGCCCUCCCGGGCGGUAAUGCCGCCCUUAUCUGACACCGGGCUUGUCCGUGGCCUCUGCUGUUCAGCCCUUGUUGCCGUGUGUUCUCGAGUGGGCCUCUCGGUGCCCUCCUGAAAACGCCUCCUUUGACCCAGACCUCAAGGCACCUUCUGGUCCUGCAUCCUGUUCCCGUCCCCCACAGCGGCCUUUCCAUAUGUGACCCUCUUCACAGAAUGCCCAGCAGCCGCCUGUCCCCCAGAAAGCACCGUGUGUCCAUGGCUCAAGUAUUUACCAGGCAUCGAGAAAACCGUAAACUUUCCUCCAAAAUCCUGAAACUUUGCUUUCGGACCUGCGCCGGAAGUGCCCUGGCACGCCGAGUCACAUUCCAGUGGUAGCGGAUCAGCCCAGGGUGGCUCAGAUGCAUUGCAAGUAGAUGAGAAAAUAUGAAAACAAAAGGCUUCCUAAGUGAAACCAUACUGGUUUUUCUUCCACUGUGAAAUAAAUAAAAUAAUGUUUUUCUUUCAUA
This is a long non-coding RNA of Leopardus geoffroyi (Geoffroy's cat), 2438 nucleotides long. RefSeq lists it as uncharacterized. Lineage: Eukaryota; Metazoa; Chordata; Mammalia; Carnivora; Felidae. The transcript has 2 exons. The record is from RefSeq and is a predicted model, not a curated record.